This 1326-nucleotide long non-coding RNA is filed under the name Musa acuminata (dwarf banana). RNAcentral describes it as "long non-coding RNA (MACU_LNC001530)". Lineage: Eukaryota; Viridiplantae; Streptophyta; Magnoliopsida; Zingiberales; Musaceae. The record is from RNAcentral.
CGGCGGUACAAGAAGGAGGCCGUCGAGCUUUCCGUCUUGGCUCACAUUCUGAGGGAAUGAGGCUCCUGCCGUUGCGUCGUCUUCUCUGCUCUCUAAUGGCGGAAAGGGACACAUCGGCCGGCGUCAUUUCUUCCAGCCAGCCUCAUUAUUGCUGGGGGACCCUCUUGGCUUCGCCCAUGCCGACGACUCGCAGGGAACGUGACCUUCGUAAACAGACAAAUAGGGCUCCUGUCUCCGUUUCAGAUAAGCGAGGGACCGUCAGAAUGAAAGCAGCUGGGCAUUUGCUCUGCUUCUUGGCGUGGGGGAAGAAAGAAAACCAUGCGUCAGCUGGCUCUCGUGGCUUCUGUUUUUCUCAUUUUCUUGCAGAUAACUUGUUCGACGAUAUGUCUCGACGUAGAAAACCAGGCUAAUUGCCUGCGACGCCAAAUCAGUAAAACGAUAAUUGCAUUUUCUCUUUCGUUUCUUUUUGUUUUGCCUAAAUUAAAGUUUCGUUAAUCGAGGCGCAAUUCUCGGAGCUUCUGCUCCUUGAGGAAGGGGAUGAUAGCGACGUUCUCCUCGAGAAGCUUCUGCUCCAGGAGCUGGAUGCGGAGCAGGGACUCCUUGUCCUGGAGCUCCUCCACCAGGCGGAGCAGCUCGGCGACGUUGGGCAAGCGGAGUUGCACAGGAGCGGAGGCGCAGGGAAAGUAGAAGCCGAAGGACCGGGCGAAGGUGCUCCGACAACGCCUUCUUCAGCUCGUCCAACUCUGUCUCGAGGUCCCUUACCCUCCUCUCACUGCGCUGGCUUUCCUCUUCGCCGCUCCGUAUCUUAGACCUCGAACCCUCGCCUUCGUCCCGCAGCGCUCGGUUCUCCGUCUGCGGGCGCUCUUUCCGGUCGCCGGCCCGCGCGAGCUCGUCACCCUCGGUAGCGAUCUCCUUCAGGAGCUCCUUUACCAGGCGGAGCAGCUCGGCGACGUUGGGCGAGCGGAGUUGCACCUGGGUGGAGGCACAGGGAAAGUAGACGCCGAAGGACCGGGCGAAGGCGCCUACGGCCUCGUCAUCGGAUGACCGGCGGGGCACGUCCGUUCUUGUUCGGGUCGUCUAACGAAGAUUUGAUUCAGAUGAAACAAAAGGAAACAGAGAAGUUGUAAUUAUCGAUUUUGCGUCAAAUCACGUAAAUUAGUUCUGGGAAAACCCUGAAGGCCAAGUGGAAGAACGUUUAGAAUGAAAACUCCGGCAUUUGCCCGCAGUCUGCGGUGGCUGAUCGAUGCUGGUGAUGGGAGUUGGAGUCGUCUCUCAACCGAUGGGGGCCCUCCUGUCACGGACAAACUUCGAAACAGGGUGUUUGAG